RNAcentral lists this transfer RNA (73 nucleotides) under Mus musculus (house mouse). It matches the Rfam family "tRNA". From Rfam's summary of the family: Transfer RNA (tRNA) molecules are approximately 80 nucleotides in length. Their secondary structure includes four short double-helical elements and three loops (D, anti-codon, and T loops). The record is from Rfam by way of RNAcentral. Lineage: Eukaryota; Metazoa; Chordata; Mammalia; Rodentia; Muridae.
GGGGAGGUAGCUCAGCAGUUAAGAGCACUGGCUGCUCUUCCAGAGGAUCCGGGUUCAAUUCCCAGCACCCACA